UAGCUUUUGGUGGGGUAACUGCCUACCAAGGCGAUGAUCAGUAGGGGCUCUUAACGGAGUGGCCCCGAGAAGGAAUCUGAGACACUAUUCCUAGCCUGACGGGGUGCAGCAGCUGCGAAUUUUUUACAAUGCACGAAAGGGUGAUAGAGCGAACCAAAGUGCUUACCUUUCGGUAAGCUUUUCUUCUGUGUAAAAAACAGGAGGAAUAAGGACUGGGAAAGACCGGUGCCAGCCGCCGCGGUAAUACCGGCAGUUCAAGUGGCAUCCAACUUUAUUGGGUCUAAAACAUCCGUAGCUUGUUUGUUAAGUCUCUUGUGAAAUCUCACGUCUCAAGCGUGGGGCUUGCAGGGGAUACUGGCAAACUUGAGAUCGGUAGACGUAAGGAGUACGAUCAAGGUAAUGGUUAAAUAUGUUAAUCUUGGUUGGACUAACGAUUAGCGAAGGCACCUUACGAGGACGAGUCUGACAGUGAGGGAUGAAGGCCUGGGGCGCAAAACGGAUUAGAUACCCGUGUAGUCCUGGCAGUAAACACUGUUCACUAAACAUCGGAACCUCUUCGGGAGGAUUCGGUGCUGAAGGGAAGCCGAAGAGUGAACUACCUGGGAAGUAUAGUCGCAAGGUCGAAACUCAAAGGAAUUGACGG
RNAcentral lists this ribosomal RNA (643 nucleotides) under uncultured archaeon. RNAcentral's name for it is "bacterial SSU rRNA". It matches the Rfam family "Archaeal small subunit ribosomal RNA", at positions 226 to 871 of the family's 1478-position model. The record is from RNAcentral.